This 253-nucleotide ribosomal RNA is filed under the name uncultured prokaryote. RNAcentral's name for it is "partial 16S ribosomal RNA". It matches the Rfam family "Bacterial small subunit ribosomal RNA", at positions 525 to 777 of the family's 1533-position model. The record is from RNAcentral.
ACGUAGGGCGCGAGCGUUGUCCGGAUUUAUUGGGCGUAAAGAGCUCGUAGGCGGUUUGUCGCGUCGAAUGUGAAAUUUUAGGGCUCAACCCUGACAUUGCAUUCGAUACGGGCAGGCUAGAGUUCGGUAGGGGAGACUGGAAUUCCUGGUGUAGCGGUGAAAUGCGCAGAUAUCAGGAGGAACACCGGUGGCGAAGGCGGGUCUCUGGGCCGAUACUGACGCUGAGGAGCGAAAGCGUGGGGAGCGAACAGGA